RNAcentral lists this ribosomal RNA (449 nucleotides) under uncultured bacterium. Its description in RNAcentral is "partial 16S ribosomal RNA". It matches the Rfam family "Bacterial small subunit ribosomal RNA", at positions 29 to 523 of the family's 1533-position model. The record is from RNAcentral.
AACGAACGCUGGCGGCAGGCCUAACACAUGCAAGUCGAACGCCCUAGCAAUAGGGAGUGGCAGACGGGUGAGUAACACGUGGGAACCUUCCCUAUAGUACGGAAUAGCCCAGGGAAACUUGGAGUAAUACCGUAUACGCCCGAAAGGGGAAAGAUUUAUCGCUAUAGGAUGGGCCCGCGUCGGAUUAGCUAGUUCGUGAGGUAAUGGCUCACCAAGGCAACGAUCCGUAGCUGGUUUGAGAGAAUGACCAGCCACACUGGGACUGAGACACGGCCCAGACUCCUACGGGAGGCAGCAGUGGGGAAUCUUGGACAAUGGGCGCAAGCCUGAUCCAGCCAUGCCGCGUGAGUGAUGAAGGCCUUAGGGUUGUAAAGCUCUUUUGUCGGGGACGAUAAUGACGGUACCCGAAGAAUAAGCUCCGGCUAACUUCGUGCCAGCCGCCGCCGUAA